This is a non-coding RNA of Pteropus alecto (black flying fox), 119 nucleotides long. Lineage: Eukaryota; Metazoa; Chordata; Mammalia; Chiroptera; Pteropodidae. The record is from Rfam.
GUCUACGGCCACGCACCCCUGAACACGCUCGAUCCGGUCUGAUCUUGGAAGCCAAGCAGGGUCAGGCCUGGUUAGUACUUGGAUGGGAGACCACCUAGGAAGACCAGGCGCUGUAGGCG